GUUAAGUAAUGCCCUUAGACCCUGGGGAGCCUGAACCUUCUUCUUCUUGUGAUGAUUUUAAGAGUCCGCUUUGGCCUUUGCCCUCUCCUUCGCUUUCCCGAGGAAGAGACUGAAACAAAAAAGGAAGCCAAGUGGAUCAGCCUCCAAACAGGACUCUGGCAACUUCUUCAUGGGUAAUUCAUGCCAGGAAACUUUUCCACCUCAACCCCUUUGCCUAACCAUGAAGACUAAAAUGUUGGGUAUACAGAAGGAGCAGCUUAAAAACACCACGAAUACCUUUGUUUGGGUCAAAGACCAUUUCGCAUCAAACACUUUUCAUCAGGAGAUUGAAAUUUUUCUAGAAAGAGAAGC
Molecule: long non-coding RNA, 351 nt
Organism: Zalophus californianus (California sea lion)
Lineage: Eukaryota; Metazoa; Chordata; Mammalia; Carnivora; Otariidae
Exons: 3
Source: RefSeq, a predicted model, not a curated record